GGCAGACGGGUGAGUAACAUGUGGGUAUCUACCCUUUGGCCUGGAAUAACACGAGGAAACUUGUGCUAAUACCGGAUAAGUCUUUACGGAGAAAGCUUUAUGCACCAUUGGAUGAGCCCGCACUUGAUUAGUUUGUUGGUAGGGUAAUGGCCUACCAAGACUAUGAUCAAUAGCUGAUUUGAGAGGAUGAUCAGCCACAUUGGGACUGAGACACGGCCCAAACUCCUACGGGAGGCAGCAGUGGGGAAUCUUGCACAAUGGAGGAAACUCUGAUGCAGCGAUGCCGCGUGAGUGAAGAAGGCCUUUGGGUUGUAAAGCUCUUUCGUCGGGGAAGAAAAUGACUGUACCCGAAUAAGAAGGUCUGGCUAACUCCGUGCCAGCAGCCGCGGUAAUACGGAGGGUCCGAGCGUUAUCCGGAAUCAUUGGGUUUAAAGGGUCCGCAGGCGGUCUAUUAAGUCAGAGGUGAAAUCCCAUAGCUCAACUAUGGAACUGCCUUUGAUACUGGUUGACUUGAGUCAUA
Molecule: ribosomal RNA, 520 nt
Filed under: uncultured bacterium
Lineage: Bacteria
Description: bacterial SSU rRNA
Rfam family: Bacterial small subunit ribosomal RNA
Source: RNAcentral